GCUGGGUGUGGUGGCGCGUGCCUGUUGUCCCAGCUACUUGGGAGGCUGAGGCAGGAGGACCACUUGAGCCCAGGAGUUCUGGGCAGUAGUGCGCUGUGCCGAUCUGGUGUCUGCAUUAACUUUGGCAUCGAUAUAGUGACCUCCCAGGAGCAGAAGACCAGCAGGUUGCCUAAGGAGGGGUGAACCAGCCCCAGUCAGAAACAGAGCAGAUCAAAACUCCUGUACUGAUCAGUAGUGGGAUCACGCCUGUGAAUAGCCUGGGUAACAUAGCCACGUCCCAUCUCU
RNAcentral lists this long non-coding RNA (285 nucleotides) under Homo sapiens (human). RNAcentral's name for it is "non-protein coding lnc-PLXNC1-4:1". It matches the Rfam family "Metazoan signal recognition particle RNA". From Rfam's summary of the family: The signal recognition particle (SRP) is a universally conserved ribonucleoprotein. It is involved in the co-translational targeting of proteins to membranes. Lineage: Eukaryota; Metazoa; Chordata; Mammalia; Primates; Hominidae. The record is from RNAcentral.